RNAcentral lists this unclassified non-coding RNA (406 nucleotides) under fungal sp. Its description in RNAcentral is "partial internal transcribed spacer region". The stretch from base 1 to 46 matches the Rfam family "Eukaryotic small subunit ribosomal RNA", at positions 1786 to 1831 of the family's 1831-position model. Lineage: Eukaryota; Fungi. The record is from RNAcentral.
AAGUCGUAACAAGGUUUCCGUAGGUGAACCUGCGGAAGGAUCAUUAACACGUAUCCAAACGUUAAACAACCCCGUGAACAUACAACCUGCUCUGGUCGCCCGCUCGCAUGGACAAGCCCAGUAAAUCAAGCCCCGGAAAGUUUUUGAUUUGGGACCUCUGUGCGCGUGAGAAAAACUGACAGCGAUUCAUAGAAGCGGUAGGUCAAGUGACACGGCGUCCCCAAGUGACCAGUGAAUGAAAGUGUCGCUGGAGCGUCAAGGACGACUCUUCAAGAUUGCUAGAGGUCGACCACCGACCGGCUUCCGUGUAUACCGUCCGAACCCCACUUUAUUGCCUUGCCUGUAAGCAUCCAUACGGAUGGGCAGGCCCCCCGAACAACUGUUAACAAUGGAUAUCUUGGUUCUC